Molecule: long non-coding RNA, 570 nt
Organism: Physella acuta
Lineage: Eukaryota; Metazoa; Mollusca; Gastropoda; Physidae
Source: RefSeq, a predicted model, not a curated record
GCAUCUUUUUGGGGGUAUUUCUUUUCCAUAAACUGUGAAAUAUGGUAUCUCAAAUUUUGCGCGUAACUCAAAGCGAAAUAUUACUCGCUCAACUGCUCGUAUUUAAAAAAUCUGGUAUGUCGAGGCACUAGAAUGUUGAGGUUCACCCAAAAAAAAGGGAAGAUCUGAUUUUUACCAGUAAUAAGACUACAGCAUACUAAAUGACACAAGAUGUUCUUUCUCUAUUACCUCUUACAUUUGACAUAAAAGCAGGAAAAGGUUUAACAGUCUAUGCCUACAACAUAGAUCUCCAGGACUAAAAGUGAAAAAAAUUGCAAUCAGUAUAUCACAAGUAUUAUAACACACGCAUCUAAUCUGCUUCAGUGGCAAGAACUGGGUGAAUCCUCUCAAACAUUAAUCAGGAACUAGGCAUACCUAAUGAGCGUCAAGCUGAUACAGUAGAUGUACAGAAGAAUUUAUACACAAGGAAGUGAAAAGUGAUGUAAAAGGCAACUAAUACUUCCAUCUACCAUAAUUAAACAAGAAUCUGCAAAUGGUGAUAAUUGCAAUAAUCUUGAUAUAUUAAUGUUU